RNAcentral lists this unclassified non-coding RNA (451 nucleotides) under Hevea brasiliensis (rubber tree). The record is from RNAcentral. Lineage: Eukaryota; Viridiplantae; Streptophyta; Magnoliopsida; Malpighiales; Euphorbiaceae.
GCUUGGUAAGAAAUGCAAAGACUACAGAUAUGGGCUUUAAACAUAUCUAUUUUUGAUAUUGUAAUUCAUAUUAGAGAAGAUAUUGCACACUAAAAGCUCCAGGAAGCCCUCAUUAGGAAACCCUGCUGAUGAAGAAUAUCCCACUUUUGGUCCAAUCCAUUAGUAGCUAGGUCCACUUUGCAGUGUAAUUAGCAUAAGGCAGUUCUAAUGAUGAGAAGUUAUUCUUGUAAUUAUGAGUUUUCCUGUCAUUGUUUUAAAUAACAGCCAUUAUGUUAUACAACAGCCAUUAUUUAUAGGUUUUUAGCCCACCCAAUACUGCAAAAGCAGUUAUUUGAAGGCAAUAUAUAUAUAUAUAUAUUUCCUGUAACAGCCAUUAUUUACCGUUAAAUAGUGAUAACGGUCCAUUUCCUCACUUAUUUUUUUAAGCCAGAUGGAGGCAGCAGCUCUUCAU